RNAcentral lists this microRNA precursor (54 nucleotides) under Heligmosomoides polygyrus. RNAcentral describes it as "microRNA hpo-mir-10115 precursor". The record is from miRBase by way of RNAcentral. Lineage: Eukaryota; Metazoa; Nematoda; Chromadorea; Rhabditida; Heligmosomidae.
AGGUGUACGAGGUAGAUCCACAGGAAAAUCUGUGGAUCUACCUCGUACACCUCU